RNAcentral lists this ribosomal RNA (873 nucleotides) under Curvularia sp. Its description in RNAcentral is "partial large subunit ribosomal RNA". It matches the Rfam family "Eukaryotic large subunit ribosomal RNA", at positions 47 to 938 of the family's 3401-position model. Lineage: Eukaryota; Fungi; Ascomycota; Dothideomycetes; Pleosporales; Pleosporaceae. The record is from RNAcentral.
UAAGCGGAGGAAAAGAAACCAACAGGGAUUGCCCUAGUAACGGCGAGUGAAGCGGCAACAGCUCAAAUUUGAAAUCUGGCUCUUUUAGAGUCCGAGUUGUAAUUUGCAGAGGGCGCUUUGGCUUUGGCAGCGGUCCAAGUUCCUUGGAACAGGACGUCACAGAGGGUGAGAAUCCCGUACGUGGUCGCUAGCUAUUGCCGUGUAAAGCCCCUUCGACGAGUCGAGUUGUUUGGGAAUGCAGCUCUAAAUGGGAGGUAAAUUUCUUCUAAAGCUAAAUAUUGGCCAGAGACCGAUAGCGCACAAGUAGAGUGAUCGAAAGAUGAAAAGCACUUUGGAAAGAGAGUCAAACAGCACGUGAAAUUGUUGAAAGGGAAGCGCUUGCAGCCAGACUUGCUUGCAGUUGCUCAUCCGGGCUUUUGCCCGGUGCACUCUUCUGCAGGCAGGCCAGCAUCAGUUUGGGCGGUGGGAUAAAGGUCUCUGACACGUUCCUUCCUUCGGGUUGGCCAUAUAGGGGAGACGUCAUACCACCAGCCUGGACUGAGGUCCGCGCAUCUGCUAGGAUGCUGGCGUAAUGGCUGUAAGCGGCCCGUCUUGAAACACGGACCAAGGAGUCUAACAUCUAUGCGAGUGUUUGGGUGUCAAGCCCGAGCGCGUAAUGAAAGUGAACGGAGGUGGGAACCCGCAAGGGUGCACCAUCGACCGAUCCUGAAGUUUACGGAAGGAUUUGAGUAAGAGCAUGGCUGUUGGGACCCGAAAGAUGGUGAACUAUGCUUGAAUAGGGUGAAGCCAGAGGAAACUCUGGUGGAGGCUCGCAGCGGUUCUGACGUGCAAAUCGAUCGUCAAAUUUGGGCAUAGGGGCGAAAGACUAAUCGA